Molecule: ribosomal RNA, 263 nt
Filed under: uncultured archaeon
Lineage: Archaea
Description: partial 16S ribosomal RNA
Rfam family: Archaeal small subunit ribosomal RNA
Source: RNAcentral
AGACGUCUACAUUGAUACCCGCGUAGUCCCAGCCGUAAACUAUGCGCGUUAGGUGUAUCGGUGACCACGAGUCACCGAGGUGCCGAAGGGAAACCGUGAAACGUGCCGCCUGGGAAGUACGGUCGCAAGGCUGAACUUAAAGGAAUUGGCGGGGGAGCACCACAACGGGUGGAGCCUGCGGUUUAAUUGGACUCAACGCCGGGAAGCUCACCGGAUAAGACAGCGGAAUGAUUGCCGGGCUGAAGACUCUGCAUGACUAGCUG